Bos taurus (domestic cattle) is the source of this 3268-nucleotide long non-coding RNA. The record is from Ensembl. Lineage: Eukaryota; Metazoa; Chordata; Mammalia; Artiodactyla; Bovidae.
AUCAGAGCCUCAAUAUAAGAAUGGAUUCCACUGAUAACAUCAAAUCCAUUCAUUUGAUUAGGCUGAGAUGCGAAGUCAAUAUAGAUUGCAAUAUAUUGCUUUAGAAACAUGACUUCCACAUCACCAGGGUCUUCAUCGUCCCUGAGUUUACCACUGUCCUCUGGGCCCACCACUACUCCAUGCGGUUUUUGAUCCAGCACUUCUGGAACUGAUGUACGAGACUGUCACCAGGAGUUCUUGAGGAGCCUCGUGUACCCGCUGCUGUCAGUGAGCUCUGCCUGUUGCUGCUUAACCUGAUAUAGUGUGAAGCCCUCUUGAAAUGCUACCUUUUCUGAUCCCCAACACUUGAGGUCUCACCACUCCCCCGAGAAAGGAUUAUUGAAUCUGUGUUCAUUUUCUUGGCCCCAUUUGAUCUGGGAACCUAGUGACCUUUAUCAGCACACAACUGGCCUGAUUUGAAGUCAUUUGGGGUUGGUGUGUCUUCUGAAUUUAUUAGAGAGGUUCUCAUAGGAGGCAUGCUUUUGUGACACUCAGAUUGUCAGAGUCCCUCCCCAUGUCCUUUUUUAAGGUUAGUAUUUUUUUUUUUUUUUAAACAAACGCAUGCAAACUAGUUUUACUUUGGGCUUUAUUGUGUGCCUGGCACCAGCCUAAGCAUUUUACAAGCAUUAUCUCAGUCAGCACUUAAUCUCAAUGGCACCAAUAGCAACUAUUUCUUCCCUCAUUUGUGGGAGCUAUUUCUUCCCUCCCUGUCACAGAGCUCACAGGUGGCCAAGCUUAGUGGAUGCCCAGGCCAGCCUGGAAGCCCGGGGCCAUCACCACCUUUCCCAGAGAGGAAACUGAGCCUGAACAGAUUAACACCCAGGGCCUCACAGCUCACCAGAGUUAAGUGACCAGACGGGGUUGGAUCAGGCCCCCCAACUCCCAGAGAAGUUGAAGUGAAAAUGAAGGUACACAAUAAAACCCAGCCUGCAUUGGGGGUCUCCAGGAUGGUCCCACACUUCCCCCCAUCUCCUUCCUACCACCUUGAAGGAUGCACACAGCCUUUCCAGCUCUAGGGGACACAUGGCCGCCCAGGAUCCCAGGCGGCAGGGACACAGGGCUCCUCUGAAUUCUCUUUCCAUUCUGGAUUGGGGGCAGGUGGGGGGACCAUCCAUAAAGCUCCCUCUGGCUUAGAAGCAGAAGGAAGAGACCUGUGUGUGUCCACUUGGCUGAGGGAUCCUCGGUGAGAAGACUGUUCCUGGGUUUGGGUGGCCAUCAGGCGCAGGCACCCACAGCUCUCACCUGGUGCGGAUGCGUGGAGAGGUUUGGAAGCUCUAGGAGAAGAAAGAUGUUGGGAACAAAUAAUGAAAUAACACACCAACAUUAGGAGAUGGCUUGUGCUGCUUGAUUAAAAAAAAAAUCAGAAAGCCAUUUUUGUAAGAAAGGAUGCAGUAUUCUCUUCCUGAUCCUCAUUUUUGGAACGCUAGUGCCUGCACCUUCUCUCCUGCCCAGAGGAAAGAGCCAGGAAAUAGGAAGAUUUCCAAGCCAAAGUCUGCAACUUAUCCAUGGGGCCACAGGAUGAUGCACAUCGCUGACUGGACUCAGGGCCCCUGGAGUCUCCCAUGGCCCACAAAUGCCUUGAACUAAACAUACUGCAGGGAUGCUGACAUCUAUAAACUUAUGAGUCUGAUGCGGUCUCCACUGCUAACUAACCUCUUGAAGCCUUCUUUUGCUCUUUGUGUUUUUUAUUGGAAAGUGGGCAAAAUGAUAGUGUCUACCUGUCUUAGUCCUAGUCCAUUCAGGCUGCUCUAACAGAAUAUCACAAACAGUAAGGUGGCUUUUAAAUGAGACAUUUAUUUCUCAUAGCUCUGGAGGCUGGAAGUCCAAAACUGGGGGAUCCAGUAUGGUUGGAUGAGGGCCCUCUUCUGGGUUGUAGAUACCUCAGUAUACACUUAUGAGGGUAGAAAGGGACAGCAGAAGUGAUUUAUCAGGAGGCUUCUUACAUAAGGCACUAAUACCAUUCAUGAGGGCUGCACCCUCAUGACGUAAGCACCUCUCCGAGGCUUCAGCUCCUGACCAUCAUCUUGCGUGUAGGUUCAGUCACUCAGUCAUGUCCGACUCUCUGUGGCUUCGUGGAUUGUAGACUGCCAGCCUCCUCUGUCCAUGGAAUUUUCUAGUCAAGAGUACUGGAGUGGGUUAACACGCCUUCUCCAGGGAUUCUUCCCGACCCAGGGAUUGAACUCGUGUCUCUUUCAUCUCCUGCGCUGGCAAGUGGAUUCUUUAUCACUGGGGGCUAAGAUUUCCACAUAUGAACUUUGAGGGGACACAGCAUUCAGGUCGUAGUACUACCUCAAAGACUGCUUUAGGUUUUCCAUGAGGAAAUUAUAAAGCAUUUCAAUGCAUGUUUGGUUUAUGCCAAAACUCAAACUAAAUGGUGACUGUCUGUGACUUGCCAUUUUUGUGCCCAUUUUCUCAUUUGGAAAACAGGAUAAACAAUAAAUAACCCUUAUACUCUACUUCAGAAUGGAGUUUAAAUAGGUAAUGUUGGGAAUUCCCUGGUGAUCCAAGGGUUAGGAUUCUAUGGUUUUACAGCUGUGGGCCUGGGCUCGAUCCAUGGUUGGGGAACUACAAUCCUGCCAGGUUUGCCAAGAUAAAAAAAAAAAAAAAAAACUUAAGGUUGAGCCAUAUGAAAUUGUCAAUAUUUGAUCAUUUUUGACCUCUACAAAUUGCAAUUUCUUGUGUGCCAAUCUGAUGACAUGUGGUAUGUCAAUUCAUAUCUAUAGAGCCUUAUAACCAGUUAUACAUAUGAGUGGUUGCUUUGCUUUCUAGUUUCAUUGUGAAACACGUCUCAGAAAAAUGACAAGAUUGCACCUAUGGGAUUGUUUUUCUCUCUUUGUUUCAUUUUAUAGUCUUCUUCACCUCUCCCCAGAACUUGCCCAUCAUCAUAUUUCACAGAACUCUGGAAGGGCAAGCUCUGUUCAUCAGAAACAUCCCACUGGAGAGAGUAGAUUUGUUAUUUUCUGUGUUACGUUGUUAAUUGAUUUGAUAAUUGCCUGGGAGACACACACAGACAUACACAUACACAAAACAAAUGUCAGGCCACACACUUUUCUCUAGACAGUAAGAUGAAGAUGUUUUAGUUAUUGGAACGCAGAUGUCACCUAGAAGAAUAAGAGGAGGUACCGGGAAAAAAAGAGGGGAGUGGAGCCGACAGGGCGGGGGGAGGCAGGCCAUCCCUCUUGGUUAUCAAGCGAAAUGACUCCCCAAAUAUGACAAUAAAUCACUGCAG